CCUCGCUUCCUGCUUGGCACACCUGGGACCAGCUCCACUUCCACUCAAGGGAGGUUUCCUGCUCAGCUUCAGUAGAGGGAUUCCGGAGAACUCUAUAUGAUGCCGUGAGAGGGAAGGAAGGCGCGGGCUGUGGAGUCAGUCUGGGUUCCGCCCUGAUCUCAUGCGAGGAGGAGCUGAGUUUGCCUUGGGCCAUCUGGUUUCUCAGAUUCUUAGUGGUUUAAUCUCAAAAGAGUUGCAUAGCAGUGUUUGCCUCACUCAGUGUGAAGCUGCAAGGGAGCGCACACCUGCCCCAGGCCGUGUCUGGAGCACUGUGGGUGCUGACAGCUAUCACCCUCCAUUUCCUCUCUUUUGCUGAACAGAAAGUAGCUUCACCUGGAGACCAUGGCAUCCACUUGAUGAGUCCACAUUGCUGUCAUCUUUUGUUGGAAAUCUCUUCUAGAAAUGCCUGUUCUUUGGCUGGAAAAGGUUAAGAUUCAGGUCAUUCUACAAAACCCACCAAGCAGCCGUGUGAAAUAUGACACAGAUCUUCAAACCACAGACCUUACUGAAGGGGCUAAGGAGUAGAAGGCUGAAAGAAAGACUGUUCGUUCACUUUCAAGCACGAAUCUUCCACUGCUGUGAGACGCCGAUGCCCGAAUUUUCAGAGAAUUGCUUUGCUCCUUUCUUCCUACGAGAGAAAAGCACGAAGCCCCUUUCCCUGCUGCCGACUUUCCCGUCUGCCCCUGGUGCCAGGCCGCCUGCGUUUUCACAGGAAACUCCGCCGACGAGGAGCUGUGUAAGAUGUCUGCCUGAGGUACGGUCACUUUCUGCAGACUUAGAGCAUGAAAUAAUCAGGACAACAUGUCAGCCAGGUCAUACCCUUCGGUUGACUAUAGUUUUGUCUGGGAGUGAAAUUUUAAACUGCCAAGCAACUUCUGUGUUAUGUUGUAAUCAUUUAGAGCCUUCCCAUUUUUAUAAGACUUUUGACUUAUCUGUUUCUUGCUUAAAUGCUUUCUUCUUCAGUUAUGCCUUUCCCGGAUGGACAUGUAGGCUGUGCUAUGUCUUGAGAGGCACAGGGAAUCCAGUCACUGAGGCGUGCUCACUGUGGCUUCAACCACGGGCAUCGAUUUCUCCCCUAAAACCCUCGAGGAGACACUUGGGGGCUGUUCUCCUGGCUUCCUCAGCUGCACGUUCACACCUGUGUCUGGGCCUCAUGGCCUCCCUCACCGGGCCGCAUAGGAAGGUCAGGUGCAGGGAAGCUUCUGUGGGCGGUAGGGGCUGGGGGUGUCUUGUGCGCUGCUUCCUCUCCCUCCUUUUUUCUUUCUCUUUUUUUUCUUUUUCUUUUUUUUUGUUAUUGUUUUAAAUCAUGGAGGAAGAAUGAUCCCCAGAAUCUCACCCCGCUGGACUUACCCUUGGUCUCAUUGGCCAGAGCUGGCCACGUGACUACCCUACUGGCCAUGGAAAUUGAGGCAGCAAAUACCUGGGUUUUCAGGCUAUGGUGGGAACAGCUGUUGGGAACGGCACCCGGGUCUCAAUCGUGGACUGAAGUAAAGCCAGCUGCAGGUCCUCAUCCUGCCGCCCCGUCCCUGCAACGAACUGCAGCCCCUCUCAUCAACAGGGGGCUCCUUCCCCACCUUUGGAGGCCGGGCAGCCUCUGUCUUGCUUUGGCCAGUAGGAUGGGGGCCUGGCCCAGCCUACGCUCAAGACGCCCUGAGCUCUUGCAGUUCCCACAAAGCCCUGUACUGUCACGAGCUGAGAGUCUCUGCGGGGCCCACCUGUCAUGGGAGGGGGCUUGGCAAAGCUCAGCGAAGCCACCCCGCCGACUGGCUGAGCAGAUACAUUCAUUCUCCUCCGCCCCAGCUCAGAUCGCAGCCCUGCCCCAACACCACCUCGACGGUGAGCAGGCAACGGUGGUGGUGGUUACAUGCACAGAGGUUUGUGGUUAUUUCUUGUGGUUACCACUGUGGCCGUAGAUAACUGAUAAUGGAAACAAUAGAGGGAUAAAGAUGUGUAAAUACAGAAAAUCACUCUGAAGUCUACCCUGCAGAGAAAACUAUUAUUAACACUUGGCAGGGGUGCCUUUAUUUUUCUAUAUACUCCUUUUUCAAGUGUCGACAUUAUACGGUAUGUAAUUUUUUUCAUUGAAGGGUAUACGUUUGUUGUUCAUUUUAAUGAACACUGUUCUUAAAUAUCAGUGUAAUAACAUGUAAAUAUUGGGUUAUUUGUAGAGUUCAAAAUUUGUAUAAGCAUUCCAAUUUUGGAUAUUUGAAUUUUUAAAAUAUUAAUGCAAUGAACAUAUCAAUACAUAAUAUUUUUGCUCAUAUGCACUUUACUUCUUUCCUUAAGAUGUAUUCUUAGAGAUGGAGGUCCUGGGC
Molecule: long non-coding RNA, 2354 nt
Filed under: Macaca mulatta (Rhesus monkey)
Lineage: Eukaryota; Metazoa; Chordata; Mammalia; Primates; Cercopithecidae
Description: lncRNA (ENSMMUG00000053050.1)
Source: RNAcentral